This 497-nucleotide ribosomal RNA is filed under the name uncultured bacterium. Its description in RNAcentral is "partial 16S ribosomal RNA". It matches the Rfam family "Bacterial small subunit ribosomal RNA", at positions 28 to 507 of the family's 1533-position model. The record is from RNAcentral.
GAUGAACGCUGGCGGCGUGCCUAAUACAUGCAAGUCGAGCGAACGGACGAGAAGCUUGCUUCUCUGAUGUUAGCGGCGGACGGGUGAGUAACACGUGGAUAACCUACCUAUAAGACUGGGAUAACUUCGGGAAACCGGAGCUAAUACCGGCUAAUAUUUUGAACCGCAUGGUUCAAAAGUGAAAGACGGUCUUGCUGUCACUUAUAGAUGGAUCCGCGCUGCAUUAGCUAGUUGGUAAGGUAACGGCUUACCAAGGCAACGAUGCAUAGCCGACCUGAGAGGGUGAUCGGCCACACUGGAACUGAGACACGGUCCAGACUCCUACGGGAGGCAGCAGUAGGGAAUCUUCGGCAAUGGGCGAAAGCCUGACGGAGCAACGCCGCGUGAGUGAUGAAGGUCUUCGGAUCGUAAAGCUCUGUUAUUAGGGAAGAACAUAUGUGUAAGUAACUGUGCACAUCUUGACGGUACCUAAUCAGAAAGCCACGGCUAACUACGUG